UCCUGUCCCAGAUGAGGCGGGGUACACCCUGGACAGGUUUCUAAUUCUUUUUCAAAUUGUCCAUUCCCAGUCAUCUUUAUUGACUUCCUUCACCAUUUCACAAGCUGCUCACACCCCCUCCAGCAGCAGUGGUGGCCUUUCAGUUAUUUUUGAGCGAGGGCCACUGUCAGAGAGCCCCCCAUGGCGAAGAAGAUCACAGCCUGGUGUUCUACAAACUGCGAAGAGACCUAGAUAGAGAGCUCCCCACAUACGUCCUCAUCUGUAGACAUGAGACCACGGAGCCCUGAUUUGACUUAUUUUCUUUUACAUUACUUCACCGCUAGUAUGUAUGAAGUAGAUUGGUUCAUUUUGUUAUUUGUCAGUUCAUCUGUAUUCUUAGCUUUUAAUACUAGUGUGUUGUUGUUUUUGUUUCCAAUCUGUAUUCUCUGUGUGCCUGGGGUUUUAUUCCCUUUUGGAUUUAUUAAUAAUUUGGAUUAUCUGCUCAGCAUAGUGGCACCUUUUAUUCCUUUUUUCAGUACACUUUUUUUUCUCUACUAGAUCUACUCUUCAUUACAUAAUACAUUAACAAUAAAUCUAUUUUCAUUU
This is a long non-coding RNA of Mugil cephalus (flathead mullet), 585 nucleotides long. RefSeq lists it as uncharacterized. NCBI's taxonomy places the organism in Eukaryota, Metazoa, Chordata, Actinopteri, Mugiliformes, Mugilidae. The transcript has 4 exons. The record is from RefSeq and is a predicted model, not a curated record.